UCUGUGUGCGCACAGCUGGAUGUGCGCAGGAGCGGGUGUGGACAGGCUGGGUGUGCAAGGCUGUGUGCGCAUAGGACAGGCGUGUGCAGGGCUGGGGGGGCAUGAGGGGUGUCUUGUGGGGCUGUGUGUGUGCAAGGAGCAGCAGGCGCCGUGUCCAUGUGAAGGGGGGGCUGCGUGCCCUGUGUCCGUGUGUGUCCCCAUAUCUGUGAGGGACUUUGUGCCCCAUGUCAGUGUGCGUAUCUUAGAGGGGCUGUGUGCCCCGUGUCCGUAUCUGUGAGGGGCUGCGUGCCCCGUGUCCGUAUCUGUGAGGGGC
Long non-coding RNA from Pseudopipra pipra, 313 nucleotides. RefSeq lists it as uncharacterized. The record is from RefSeq and is a predicted model, not a curated record. The transcript has 2 exons. NCBI's taxonomy places the organism in Eukaryota, Metazoa, Chordata, Aves, Passeriformes, Pipridae.